RNAcentral lists this long non-coding RNA (374 nucleotides) under Brassica napus (rape). RNAcentral's name for it is "long non-coding RNA (BNAP_LNC005763)". Lineage: Eukaryota; Viridiplantae; Streptophyta; Magnoliopsida; Brassicales; Brassicaceae. The record is from RNAcentral.
UUUGAUUUUGAAUAAUCACGGUUGAUGUUCCUUAUUUUUGAAUCGAUUUUACUUAAGUUUUGGUUACAAAAUAGGUACAAAUCAGAUAUUUUAAAACUGAAGAACCGAUUUUACUCAUGUUUUGGUUAUAAAAUAGGUAAAAAUCAGGUACUUUUAAACCGAAAAACCGAUUGGGACCCGAAUCCGAAAGUAUAUUGGGUUGUACCGGUUCUUUGAAGAUUCACUAACCCCGAUCCGAACCCGAUAGAACCCGAACCGGUCCCGAACCGAACUUUCAUAUAAUCCGAAUGGGCCUGAUUUUGAUGAACCCGAAAAACCGAAACCCGAUUGGAUAAAACCGAAACCCGAUUGGGACCCCGAAUGCCCAGGCCUAG